This 512-nucleotide ribosomal RNA is filed under the name uncultured bacterium. Its description in RNAcentral is "bacterial SSU rRNA". It matches the Rfam family "Bacterial small subunit ribosomal RNA", at positions 28 to 526 of the family's 1533-position model. The record is from RNAcentral.
GACGAACGCUGGCGGCGUGCUUAACACAUGCAAGUGGUGCGACGAACCAGGCUUCGGCCUGGGGCAAAGCCGCGAACGGGUGAGUAACACGUGGGUCACCUGCCCCGAAGACCGGGACAACCCGAGGAAACUCGAGCUAAUACCGGAUGUGGUCGUCUCUCAUAAGAGUGACGAGCAAAGGUAGCUUCGGCCUCCGCUUCGGGAUGGGCCCGCGGCCCAUUAGCUUGUUGGUGAGGUAACGGCUCACCAAGGCUGCGAUGGGUAGCUGGUCUGAGAGGACGAUCAGCCACACUGGGACUGAGACACGGCCCAGACUCCUACGGGAGGCAGCAGUGGGGAAUCUUGCGCAAUGCGCGAAAGCGUGACGCAGCAACGCCGCGUGGGGGAAGAAGGCCUUCGGGUUGUAAACCCCUUUCAGGAGGGACGAAGCUUCGGGGGUGAAUAGCCUUCCGGAGUGACGGUACCUCCACAAGAAGCCCCGGCUAACUACGUGCCAGCCGCCGCAGUAAUAC